Molecule: ribosomal RNA, 239 nt
Filed under: uncultured bacterium
Lineage: Bacteria
Description: partial 16S ribosomal RNA
Rfam family: Bacterial small subunit ribosomal RNA
Source: RNAcentral
GAUCAUGGCUCAGGAUGAACGCUGGCGGCGUGCUUAACACAUGCAAGUCGAGCGAAGCACUUAGGAAAGAUUCUUCGGAUGAUUUCCUAUUUGACUGAGCGGCGGACGGGUGAGUAACGCGUGGGUAACCUGCCUCAUACAGGGGGAUAACAGUUAGAAAUGACUGCUAAUACCGCAUAAGACCACAGUACCGCAUGGUACAGGGGUAAAAACUCCGGUGGUAUGAGAUGGACCCGCGU